UACGAAGGGGGCUAGCGUUGCUCGGAAUCACUGGGCGUAAAGGGUGCGUAGGCGGGUCUUUAAGUCAGGGGUGAAAUCCUGGAGCUCAACUCCAGAACUGCCUUUGAUACUGAAGAUCUUGAGUUCGGGAGAGGUGAGUGGAACUGCGAGUGUAGAGGUGAAAUUCGUAGAUAUUCGCAAGAACACCCGUAGCGAAGGCGGCACUCUGGGCCGAUUCUGACACUGAGGAGCGAAAGCGUGGGGAGCGAACAGG
This 253-nucleotide ribosomal RNA is filed under the name uncultured bacterium. RNAcentral's name for it is "partial 16S ribosomal RNA". It matches the Rfam family "Bacterial small subunit ribosomal RNA", at positions 524 to 776 of the family's 1533-position model. The record is from RNAcentral.